GGGUUGUGAGGUUAAGCGACUAAGCGUACACGGUGGAUGCCCUGGCAGUCAGAGGCGAUGAAGGGCGUGCUAAUCUGCGAUAAGCGCCGGUAAGGUGAUAUGAACCGUUAUAACCGGCGAUACCCGAAUGGGGAAACCCAGUGUGACUCGUCACACUAUCAUUAACUGAAUCCAUAGGUUAAUGAGGCGAACCGGGGGAACUGAAACAUCUAAGUACCCCGAGGAAAAGAAAUCAACCGAGAUUCCCCCAGUAGCGGCGAGCGAACGGGGAGGAGCCCAGAGCCUGAAUCAGCAUGUGUGUUAGUGGAAGCGUCUGGAAAGGCGCGCGAUACAGGGUGACAGCCCCGUACACAAAAGCGCAUGUGCUGUGAGCUCGAUGAGUAGGGCGGGACACGUGGUAUCCUGUCUGAAUAUGGGGGGACCAUCCUCCAAGGCUAAAUACUCCUGACUGACCGAUAGUGAACCAGUACCGUGAGGGAAAGGCGAAAAGAACCCCGGCGAGGGGAGUGAAAAAGAACCUGAAACCGUGUACGUACAAGCAGUGGGAGCCCCACCACUAAGCCAGUGGUGAACUCCACAUACGCAUCCUUUGCUGAGGAUACGGUUAACGGAGCGAAAGCGACGUUCAACCGCAAAAGAAGCAGAGGGGGCUUAGUGGUGGGGUGACUGCGUACCUUUUGUAUAAUGGGUCAGCGACUUAUAUUCUGUAGCAAGGUUAACCGAAUAGGGGAGCCGGAGGGAAACCGAGUCUUAAUUGGGCGUUAAGUUGCAGGGUAUAGACCCGAAACCCGGUGAUCUAGCCAUGGGCAGGUUGAAGGUUGGGUAACACUAACUGGAGGACCGAACCGACUAAUGUUGAAAAAUUAGCGGAUGACCUGUGGCUGGGGGUGAAAGGCCAAUCAAACCGGGAGAUAGCUGGUUCUCCCCGAAAGCUAUUUAGGUAGCGCCUCGUGAAUUCAUCUCCGGGGGUAGAGCACUGUUUCGGCUAGGGGGCCAUCCCGGCUUACCAACCCGAUGCAAACUGCGAAUACCGGAGAAUGUUAUCACGGGAGACACACGGCGGGUGCUAACGUCCGUCGUGAAGAGGGAAACAACCCAGACCGCCAGCUAAGGUCCCAAAGUCAUGGUUAAGUGGGAAACGAUGUGGGAAGGCCCAGACAGCCAGGAUGUUGGCUUAGAAGCAGCCAUCAUUUAAAGAAAGCGUAAUAGCUCACUGGUCGAGUCGGCCUGCGCGGAAGAUGUAACGGGGCUAAACCAUGCACCGAAGCUGCGGCAGCGAACGUAUCACUUAAAGCGAUUCAGCGGGUUACGAUUGACGGAGCGAAGCGACGUCAAAGCGUAUACAAAGUCGAGUCGGUUUAAGGAUACGUUCGUUGGGUAGGGGAGCGUUCUGUAAGCCUGCGAAGGUGGCCUGUGAGGGUUGCUGGAGGUAUCAGAAGUGCGAAUGCUGACAUAAGUAACGAUAAAGCGGGUGAAAAGCCCGCUCGCCGGAAGACCAA
RNAcentral lists this ribosomal RNA (1499 nucleotides) under Salmonella enterica. RNAcentral's name for it is "bacterial LSU rRNA". It matches the Rfam family "Bacterial large subunit ribosomal RNA", at positions 1 to 1348 of the family's 2925-position model. Lineage: Bacteria; Pseudomonadati; Pseudomonadota; Gammaproteobacteria; Enterobacterales; Enterobacteriaceae. The record is from RNAcentral.